Molecule: ribosomal RNA, 301 nt
Filed under: uncultured bacterium
Lineage: Bacteria
Description: partial 16S ribosomal RNA
Rfam family: Bacterial small subunit ribosomal RNA
Source: RNAcentral
CAGUCGCCGCGGUAGAACGUAGGGUGCGAGCGUUAAUCGGAAUUACUGGGCGUAAGGCGUGCGCAGGCGGUUAUAUAAGACAGAUGUGAAAUCCCCGGGCUCAACCUGGGACCUGCAUUUGUGACUGUAUAGCUAGAGUACGGUAGAGGGGGAUGGAAUUCCGCGUGUAGCAGUGAAAUGCGUAGAUAUGCGGAGGAACACCGAUGGCGAAGGCAAUCCCCUGGACCUGUACUGACGCUCAUGCACGAAAGCGUGGGGAGCAAACAGGAUUAGAUACCCGCGUAGUCCCUGUCUCUUAUAC